GUGGCGUACGGGUGAGUAACACGUGGAUCAUCUACCUUUUAGUGGGGAAUACCCCUGGGAAACCGGGGACAAUACCGCAUAAUCCCGUGAGGGGAAAGCAGCAAUGCGCUGAAAGAGGAGUCCGCGGCUGAUUAGCUAGAUGGCGGGGUAACGGCCCACCAUGGCGAAGAUCGGUAGCCGGCCUGAGGGGGCACACGGCCACACUGGCACUGAAACACGGGCCAGACUCCUACGGGAGGCAGCAGUGGGGAAUCUUGCACAAUGGAGGAAACUCUGAUGCAGCGACGCCGCGUGAGCGAUGAAGCCCUUCGGGGUGUAAAGCUCUUUCGACGGGGACGAUAAUGACGGUACCCGAAGAAGAAGCUGCGGCUGACUACGUGCCAGCAGCCGCGGUAAUACGUAGGCAGCGAGCGUUGUUCGGAAUUACUGGGCGUAAAGAGUGCGUAGGCGGUGCUCUAAGUCUGGUGUGAAAUCUCCCGGCUCAACUGGGAGGGUGCGCUAGAAACUGGAGUGCUAGAGUGUGGGAGAGGUAAGCGGAAUUCCUGGUGUAGCGGUGAAAUGCGUAGAUAUCAGGAGGAACACCUGCGGUGUAGACAGCUUACUGGACCACGACUGACGCUGAGGCACGAAAGCGUGGGUAGCAAACAGGAUUAGAUACCCUGGUAGUCCACGCCCUAAACGAUGCAUACUUGGUGUGAGCGAUUCAUUUCGUUCGUGCCGGAGCUAACGCGUUAAGUAUGCCGCCUGGGGAGUACGGUCGCAGGGCUGAAACUCAAAGGAAUUGACGGGGGCCCGCACAAGCGGUGGAGCAUGUGGUUCAAUUCGACGCAACGCGAAGAACCUUACCUGGGCUCGAACGGCUUAAGACCAUCUUUGGAAACAGAGACUUCUCGCAAGAGACUUGAGUCGAGGUGCUGCAUGGCUGUCGUCAGCUCGUGUCGUGAGAUGUUGGGUUAAGUCCCGCAACGAGCGCAACCCUUGUCCUGUGUUGCCACUCCCCUUAAAAGGAAGCACUCGCAGGAGACCGCCAGCGAUAAGCUGGAGGAAGGUGGGGAUGAUGUCAAGUCAUCAUGGCCUUUAUGUCCAGGCUACACACGUGCUACAAUGGCCGGUACAAACCGCUGCAAACCCGCGAGGGGGAGCUAAUCGGAAAAAACCGGUCUCAGUUCGGAUCGCAGGCUGCAACUCGCCUGCGUGAAGCUGGAAUCGCUAGUAAUGGUGUAUCAGAACGAUACCGUGAAUACGUUCCCGGGCCUUGUACACACCGCCCGUCACAUCACGAAAGUGGAUUGUACUAGAAGUCUGUAUGCCGACCCGCAAGGGGGGCAGCGGCCCAAGGUAUGAUUCAUGAUUGGGGUGAAGUCGAAACAAGGUA
RNAcentral lists this ribosomal RNA (1375 nucleotides) under metagenome. RNAcentral's name for it is "bacterial SSU rRNA". It matches the Rfam family "Bacterial small subunit ribosomal RNA". The record is from RNAcentral.